CGACCCUAGGUCAGGUGGGGCUACCCGCUGAGUUUAAGCAUAUCAAUAAGCGGAGGACAAGAAACUUACGAGGAUUCCCUUAGCAACGGCGAGUAAAUCGGGACGAUCCUAGCUUGAGAAUUGGGCGGAUUUGUCAUUCGAAUUGUAGUCUGUAGAAGCGUCCUCAGCAGCGGACCGGGCCCAAGUCCCCUGGAAGGGGGUGCUGAAGAGGGUGAGAGACCCAUCGUGUCUGGACCUUGUCGUACCAUGAGGCACUGUCGGUGAGUCAAGUUGUUUGGGAAUGUAGCCCCAAUUAGGUGGUAAAUUUUGUCCAAGGCUAAAUAUAGGCGAGAGAACGAUAACGAACAAGUACCACAAGGGAAAGAUGAAAAGGACUUUGAAAAUAGAGUCAAAGAGUGUUUAAAAUUAUCAGGAGGGAAGCGGGGGCUAGUGAUGCAUCUCGAUUGGACGCGAAACGGUUAAUAGCCGAUUCGCUGCUCGACUCAGGGCGUGGAUCGAUGUGGAUUGCAACGGCGUCCCAAGCCCGGGUUAUCGCUUUAUGUCUGAGGAGAUGUCAUCGCCGUGAUCAUGGUAGGCAGCGUGCACCUCGAUGGUGUGCCUAUUGGAAACUGCAUGCUCCAGGCAUUGGCCUGUCGGGCUCCCCAUUCGACUCAUCUUGAAACACGGGCCAAGGAGUCUGACAUGUGUGCAAGUCAACGGGCGAGUAAAACCCAUAAGGCGUAUGGAAGCUGACUGGUGGGAUCCCCUUGUGGGUUGCACCACCGACCGACCUUGAUCUUCUGUGAAGGGUUCGAGUGAGAGCAUACCUAUCGGGACCCGAAAGAUGGUGAAUUAUGCCUGAGCGGGGCUAAGCCAGAGGAAACUCUAGUGGAGGCCCAUAGCAAUACUGAUGUGCAAAUCAUUCGUCUGACUUGGGUAUAGGGGUGAAAGACUAAUCGAAUCAUCUAGUAGUUGGUUCCUUCAAAGUUUCCCACAAGAUAGUUGAAACCCGCGGGCAUGUUCUAUCGGCUAAAGCCAAUGAUUAGAGGCAUUGGGGGCAUAACACCCUCGACUUAUUCUCAAACUUUAAAUAGGUAGGACGGCGUGGCUGCUUCAUUGAGCCACGCCAUGGAAUCGAGAGCUUUAAGUGGGCCAUUUUUGGUAAGCAGAACUGGCGAUGCGGGAUGAAUCGGAAGUCGGAUUACGGUACUGGAUUGCAUGCUAACCUAGAACCCACAAAGGGUGUUGGUCGAUUAAGAUAGUAGGACAGUGGUCAUGGAAGUCGAAAUCUACUAAGGAGUGUGUAACAACUCACCUGCCGAAUCAACUAACCUUGAAAAUGGAUGGCGCUGAAGUGCGUAACCUUUACUCGGUCGUCAAGGCAACUGCCAGGCCCCAAUGAGUAGGAGGGCAUGAUGGUCACCGUAAAACUAGGGGCAUGAACUCGAGCGGAGUGACCGUCGGUGCAGAUAUUGGUGGUAGUAGCAAAUAUUCAAAUGAGAACUUUGAAGGCCGAAGAGGGGAAAGGUUCCAUGUGAACGGCACUUGCACAUGGGUUAGUCGAUCCUAAGGAAUAGGGGAAGUUCAUCAGAGAGCGUGUAGGCACGCGUGCUCCGGAAGGGAAUCGUUUUAAAAUUCCUGAACCGGGACGUGGCGGUUGACAACAAUGUUAGGAAGUCCGGAGACGUCGGCAGGGGCCUCAGGAAGAGUUAUCUUUUUUGGUUAACAGCCUGCCCACCCUAAAAACGGCUCAACCGGAGGUAGGGCCCAGUGGUUGGAAGAGCACUGCACGUCACGUGGUGUUCGGUGCGCCCCCGGUGGCCCUUGAAAAUCUGGAGGAUCAAGUGCCGACCAUGCCCGAUCGUACUCAUAACCGCAUCAGGUCUCCAAGGUGAACAGCCUCUGGUCGAUAGAACAAUGUAGGCAAGGGAAGUCAACAAAAUGGAUCCGUAACCUCGGGAAAACGAUUAGCUAUCGAAGGAUUUCUCGAGCUACUUUCGCGGUGAGAGCGGGUCACCGCGUACCGGUCAGGGGACAGACUAGGAACGGCCCCCUCAGGGGCCUUCCCCAGGCACCGAACAGUCGACUUGGAACUGGUACGGACAGGGGGAAUCCGACUGUUUAAUUAAAACAAAGCAUUACAAUGGUCCCUACAGAUGCUCACGCAAUGUGAUUUCGGCCCAGUGCUCUGAAUGUCAAAGUGAAGAAAUUCAACCAAGCGCGGGUAAACGGCGGGAAUAACUAUGACUCUCUUAAGGUAGCCAAAUGCCUCACCAUCUAAUUAGUGACGCGAAUGAAUGGAUUAACAAGGUUCCCACUGUCCCUGUCUACUAUCCAGUGAAACCACAGCCAAGGGAACGGGCUUGGUAGAAUCAGCGGGGAAAGAAGACCCUAUUGAGCUUGACUCUAGUCCGACUUUGUGAAAUAACUUGAGAGGUGUAGGAUAAGUGGGAGCUGGAAACGGUGCUAGUGAAAUACCACUACUUUUAAUGUUAUUUUACUUACUCCAUGAGUCAGAGGUGGGGCUUUGCCCCUCCUUUUGGACCCAAAGUCCACCUCCGUGGGGUGAUCCGGGCAGAGUACAUUGUCAGGUGGGGAGUUUGGCUGGGGCAGCACAUCUGUUAAAAGAUAACACAAGUGUCCUAAGAUGAGCUCAAUGAAAACAGAAAUCUCGUGUGGAACAAAAGGGUAAAAGCACGUUUGAUUCUGACUUCCAGUAUGAAUACGAACUGUGAAAGCAUGGCCUAUCGAUCCUUUAGACCUUCAGAAUUUGAAGCUAGAGGUGUCAAAAAAGUUACCACAGGGAUAACUGGCUUGUGGCAACCAAGCGUUCAUAGCGAUGUUGCUUUUUGAUCCUUUGAUGUCGCCUCUUCCUAUCAUUGCGAAGCAAAAUUCGCCAAGUGUUGGAUUGUUCACCCACCAAUAGGGAACGUAAGCUGGGCUUAGACCGUCGUGAGACAGAUUAGUUUUACCCUACUAAUGACAGUGUCGCGAUAGUAAUUCAACCUAGUACGAGAGGAACCGUUGAUCCACACAAUUAGUCAUCGCGCUUGGUUGAAAAGCCAGUGGCGUGAAGCUGCUAUAUGCCGGAUUAUGAUUGAACGCCUCUAAGUCAGAAUCCAGGCUAAAGAAGCGAUGCCUGUGCCCAUCGCCCGUUUACCGACCCAUAGUAGGGGCCCUCCGGCCCCUAAAGGCACAUGUCAUUGGCCAACCCCCGUAGUGGACGUGUUGUGUGGGCUGCCUUGAAGCUUAAUUCCUGUCAGGCGAUGGAUAGAAUCCUUUGCAGACGUCUUAAAUACGCGAUGGGGUAUUGUAAGUGGCAGAGUGGCCUUGCUACCACGAUCCACUGAGAUUCAGCCCCGUGUCGUAUCGAUUCGU
Macadamia integrifolia is the source of this 3357-nucleotide ribosomal RNA. The record is from RefSeq and is a predicted model, not a curated record. Lineage: Eukaryota; Viridiplantae; Streptophyta; Magnoliopsida; Proteales; Proteaceae.